RNAcentral lists this ribosomal RNA (301 nucleotides) under uncultured bacterium. Its description in RNAcentral is "partial 16S ribosomal RNA". It matches the Rfam family "Bacterial small subunit ribosomal RNA", at positions 509 to 807 of the family's 1533-position model. The record is from RNAcentral.
CAGUAGCCACGGGAAUACGGAGGGGGCUAGCGUUGUUCGGAAUUACUGGGCGUAAAGCGUACGUAGGCGGCUUUGUAAGUUAGAGGUGAAAGCCUGGUGCUCAACACCAGAACUGCCUUUAAGACUGCAUCGCUUGAACGUCGGAGAGGUGAGUGGAAUUCCGAGUGUAGAGGUGAAAUUCGUAGAUAUUCGGAAGAACGCCAGUGGCGAAGGCGACAUACUGGAUCAUUACUGACGCUGAGGCUCGAAAGCGUGGGGAGCAAACAGGAUUAGAUACCCGAGUAGUCCCUGUCUCUUAUAC